Oncorhynchus mykiss (rainbow trout) is the source of this 832-nucleotide non-coding RNA. Lineage: Eukaryota; Metazoa; Chordata; Actinopteri; Salmoniformes; Salmonidae. The record is from RefSeq and is a predicted model, not a curated record.
GUCAACUUCCGGCUUUGAAAAUCAUAUUUUCCUGUCCAAGAAACGUGAAUUUGAGAUAAACAAACAAACGUGAUAUUUAAUUUAGCUACAAAACGUUCGAAUGUAGCUGGCUAUGGUGAAAUGCGUGGUUCUGGGGUAUCCUAAUCGAAGCGACAAUAAUAAAGGAGCGUUUCCGAAUCGACCUAUAAGGUUUUUACAUUUUCCUAAGGACCAGACUCGAAUAGAAGUGUGCCUUGCUGCCCUGCGAAAGACGGAAAAGUAGAAUUCAACGGAGGAGCACAUCAUAUGUGAAAAACACUUUCUGACAGACCACAUACAUAAUUCGUGGAUGAAGAUGUUGCAACGGCUAAGCACGGGAGGAUACGCUCAUGAUUUCUUUGAUUGAUAGCUUUCUUAUCGCAAUGAUUGUAGUCGUUGUUUUUAGGAAUCCCUGUCUACAUAUAUUUUUAUGAUGUGCCAGCCCGAGACUGAACCAUCUGCAUCAAUGUAAGGAUCUGUCCCUGGCUCUGUUGACCAAGAAGUUCCUAAGGCUAUUGUGUGGCAUCCAUCAUGGUUUCAUAGACCUUAACCUCGCGGCAAAGAACCUCAUCACAAGCAAACCGAGGGUCUAUGACCUCACCAACUGCCUGGAGGGGACCAACCUUAUUCAGAAACAAUCUGCCAACAAGAUCAAGUGGUUAGGUCCAUGUCCAGUCACCAGUCUUGUGGGGCCGAAGCAGAGGUUUUAGCGGGAGCUGCAGAACCUGAAGACGGUGGAGGAAAGUCUGGAUGAGCUCAUCAAGACCUGUGCACAGCAGCUCUUUGACAUGACGGACAGCCUAGACAACAGAGA